UUUGCUUGGUUUUUGAGCACAGGGAUGCGAUCCUAUGAAUCAGAGGUCAGUCUUUUGUGUCUUGGAUGCAUCACUCUUUGAUCCCUUUCUUGAUUUUUCAGUUAUAUUUUUAAUUACUAGACCUUCUCAUAAAUUAUUAUACCUUCACAAAAGAGAGUUUUCUGUUUUUAUGUUUGUGUUAUUGGAUAAGAUCGCCUAUUACAAUAGGAGACUUUUCGAUAAUCUGAGUGGUAAAGCAGAAAAAAGUGCUGGAU
This 254-nucleotide long non-coding RNA is filed under the name Brassica napus (rape). RNAcentral describes it as "long non-coding RNA (BNAP_LNC019170)". The record is from RNAcentral. Lineage: Eukaryota; Viridiplantae; Streptophyta; Magnoliopsida; Brassicales; Brassicaceae.